CCUCAUCAGCAGAAGACUUACCACAAUUUCCCCCCACCAAUAAUGGCUGAAUCCUUCGCAUUUAACAUUGCUGAAAAUGUCCUCUCAAAACUAGCCAAUAUUGCAUAUCAAGAAAUUCGCCUUGCCAGGGUGGUCCAGAGUGACCUUGAAAAGCUUAAGACGACUUUAACUACCAUCAAAGCUGUGCUUUUUGAUGCUGAAGAAAAACAGGCUCAUGACAGUCAGCUGCGGGUUUGGCUUCAAGAGCUUAGGGAUGCCAGUUAUGAUGCAGAAGAUGUGUUGGAUGAAUUUGAAAUCGAAGCACUGCGGAAGCAAGUUGUGAAACAGAAGAGCAUCGGAAAGCAGGUAAGCCAUUUCUUUUCAAGCUCAAACCCACUUGCUUUUCGGUUUAGGAUGGCACAUAAGGUUAAAAAAGUUACUGAGAGAUUCGUUGAGAUUGCUGCUUUGAAAAAUAAUUUUCAUCUCAUCGAGAGACAUGAUGGCCCUGGGCAUGUCGUGCGCUUGGACAGGGAGACCCACUCCUUUGUGCAGGCAUCGGAGGUCAUUGGCAGAGAUGAAGAGAAAGAGAGAAUCAUAAAAAUGUUAAUGCAAGAUCCAGCUGAUGCGGAAGACAUUUCCGUCCUUCCCAUAGUUGGAAUCGGAGGUCUGGGGAAGACCGCCCUUGCGAAAUUGGUAUUCAAUGAUGGAAGGAUAGAUAGGCAUUUUGGGUUGAAAAUGUGGGUGUGUGUUUCAGAUGACUUUGAUCUGAAACGAUUAGUUCUGAAAAUCAUGAAAGCUGGAAAGGAGGGUGAUGGAGACCUUGGUAACAUGGAUUUGGAGCAAUUACAGAAGGUGUUACGAGAUUGUUUGAAGGGUAAUAAAUAUUUACUCAUCUUAGAUGAUGUGUGGAGUGAGGAUAAUAGAAAAUGGCAAGAACUGAAACAAUUGUUAGUGGGAGGAGCUAGUGGAAGCAAAAUUGUGGUCACCACUCGCAGUAACCAAGUUACAAAGAUUGUCGGCACAAUCCCUCCACAAAAUUUAGAAGGUCUUCCUUACGAUCAAUCUUUAUCUUUGUUUCUCAAAUUUGCAUUCAAGAGAGGAGAAGAGAAACAACAUCCCAAUCUUGUAAAAAUUGGGGAAGAUAUUGUUAAAAAAUGCAAAGGGGUUCCUUUGGUUGUGAAGACAAUGGGGAGUUUACUUUUCUCCAAAAUUUCAGAACAUGAGUGGAGACUUGUGAAAGAUAGUGAAAUGUGGCAAUUAAUGGAAAAAGAAAAUGAAAUAUUUUCUGUUUUAAAACUAAGUUAUGAUCAACUGCCUCCUCAUUUAAAGCAAUGUUUUGCUUAUUAUUCAGUCUAUCCAAAGGAUUAUGCUUUUGUUGAAUUUGAGUUAAUCCAAUUUUGGAUGGCUCAUGGUCUUCUUCAAUCCUCUAAAAAAAAUGAAGAUCCGGAGGAUAUUGGGCGGCAGUAUUUGAACCACCUAUCAUCAAGGUGUUUUUUCCAAGAUUAUCAGGAUAAAGGUUUUCUUAUUGAAUUUAAAAUGCAUGAUCUUUUGCAUGAUCUUGCAUUAUCAGUAGCAAAGAAUGAGUGUUCUACACUAAAUUCUUUCGAGCAAAAUAUUCCUCAAGGAGUUAAACAUGUGUACCUUGAUAACUGUGAUUCUCUCGAGGAAAAAGCCUUUGAAUUACUUAAUAAAGCAGGACAUGUGCGCACAUUUAUGCUUCCAGACGUGGAUACAGGUCCAGGCAACAAAUCUUUUAUGGAAACAUGCCUCAAGAGGUUCCAACAUUUGCGGGUGCUUAAACUAUCCAGAUCUAAUCUCGAGAUAUUGCCCAAAGGGAUUGGCAAUUUGAAGCACUUAAGGUUUCUCUAUCUAUGCGAUAAUCCCAACAUCAAGAAGCUUCCGAACUCCAUUUGUAAGUUGCAAAAUUUGCAGACUUUGUUGUUUGCCGGUUGUUACAAAAUUGAAGAGUUACCUAGAGAAAUGAGAUACUUAAUCAAUCUCAGAUUUUUAUCAUUAACUACAAAACAAAGGGAUUUACGUGGAUUAGAACAUUUGAAAUCUCUUCGAACCUUAUGUAUUAUAAACUGUAAAAAUCUGGAAUAUUUGUUCGAAGGGAUUCAAAACCUCACAUCCCUUCAAACAUUAUGUAUCUCUGGGUGCAGAAAUUUGACAUCACUGCCACAUGGUUUGAAAUAUCUAACAGCAUUACAAACUCUAUCAAUUAGGGUUUGUGUAAAGCUUGAUUUGAAUAUGACAAUGGGAUUCGAAGGGAAAGAAGAGGAUAAUCAAGACUACCUCGUUGAUAGUGGUUUGUGUCUUCAAAGAUUAGGGAUUACUGGACCGUUACCAAAUCUGGAGGCUCUACCCCAAUGGCUUCUACAAGGAUCUGCCAACACUUUAAAGCAGUUGGACAUUGAACGAUGUGAGAACCUCACAACCACACCAGAGUGGAAAACUCUUACAUCACUUGAAAGGCUUUGGAUUUUCAAGUGCCCAAAGUUAUCAACUCUACCAGAAAAGAUGCAGCGCCUCAAAAGAUUGUCGAUUAUAGAGUGUCCUAUCUUGAGUGAAAGAUGCAAACCGGAAACGGGAGAGGAUUGGCCAAGCAUUGCUCAUGUCUCCCGUAUAUGUCUGGACGGUGCUGAAAUUUCAUCUAAAGAAUUAUCAACCCCAUGAUUCUGUAAGAGUUAAUAUUUUUCUCGCUUCUUCUUUUCUUCUCUUUUUAUUUUUUUUAAUUUGCUUUCCAUAUUUCAUAUUUUUCAUUUGAAAUGUAAAAAAAAUAACAUAUAAAAUGGAGUAAAUAAUGCAUACUUCUAACACAUUUUUAAUAUUUUUUAUUUUUUGUUUUUUUCGUAAAGCAUGCCAAAUAGAUGAUAAAAGUGUUUUUAAACUUUUAGAACUUCUAAAUUUGAUACCACUAUUGUUAGCCUAGAAUGGCAUUUAAGAUUCAUAACUAGUUAAUAUGAUCAGCUAACUACUUAUAUGUUACUUCAUGCCUUGUUAGUAAUAUCACUAUUAUUUCACAAUGAACUAGAAACAAAAUCAAGCAUAUAUAUGAACAUUUGGAUAAAUGAUAAAUAAAUAAAUACAUAAAUAUAUAAAUAUAUAUUUAUUUACAUACAAAAUUACGUCUUUUACUUGAAAAUGUUGGCCAAUUUAGCAUUGUUUGGAAAAUGUCCUAAUUUGGCUUGUGAAUGAGUGGCAGGGCAUACCUCCAUUUUAUUGGUAUUCGGACUGGAAUCCCCCCUUGGUGACUGGACUGCAGUACGGUUGAUGUAAUCCCUCAAAUAGAGUGGAGGGGUGUGCUUGGCUUCCCAUUUCUCCUAAUUGUUGGCUUUGUAUAUUUUAUCUAUCUACUUGUAUUAUGAACAUAUUUGAUGUUUGUUUGUGUACUUAAAUUCCUUUGCUUUGAUUGUUCAUGUAAUCGCUACUCUUUAUUUGUUGGUUUGUUGAAUUGCCUUUGGAUUCAAAAUUUGGUUUGGUUUGGUUGGGUGAUCUAUGUUUGUGUUUAGUUUUUCUCCAAAAUAACUUCAUUCCCUAAUUAGAUUGUGUUGGAAUCUCUUUCCUUCCGAACUAAAUAAAAACCUUUAAUUUGUUCUUUUUCAUUCCCUAAUUCAAUCAAUCACCGUCAAAGUAAAUUUAUUCCAUUGAAAUUAACUUUUGCUUGCAACUGUAGGAUCUCAAAUCAGGAUUUAGUAUGGCAUAUAUAAACUGGUAGUAGUCAUUCUUAUUUCAUGGAUUUUUUUGGAAAAAAAAAAAGAAAUUUGAAUGAAUAAAAUACUAAUGCAUAUGAUAAAUUAUAUUUUAAUGCCUAUUUUUUUAUCAAAAUGAUAGAGGAUUUAUGCGUAAAUAUUUACAUGCAUACACUAAAAGCAAGAUAUACAAAUACCAAGUUUUUUUGAGUGAUUAUCAAUUAGAAUCUUCAGAUUAAUUUCAUAUAUAUCAAUAAUAAAAUUUUUAAACUUCAUAAAUAAAUUUAUAAUAUUAUUAUAUGUCUAUUUAAUAACAACAACCUUAUAAAUAUAUCAUCGAGGAAAGUCUUUAAUUUCACAAGUCUGUUUGUAGUUUAAGUGCCUCAUUUUUGUUGAAAUAUUUUUUGAAAAGUUUUUUACACUGUUUCAAUUUGUAUUUACAAAGAAUUCUUGAUAUUCUUUGCUUUUAUCUCUCUUUUUAUUAAGGCAUAAUAUUCAAAAAAGUCUUUAAAUUAUUUAGAAAAAUUUAAAUAAGUCCUUAAAAAACCCACCAACUCCCUAUAUUCAUGAAUUUUAUUCAAUUUAGUCUAUAUACUCAAAAUCAAAAUAAUUUAAUUUCUUGAUUUUAAAAAUUACUUCAAUUUAGUCAUUCUCUCUAACGACAUUUAAUUUUAUCGUUAAAAUGGGUGACGUCAAUGCUGACAUCAGCACUAACAUGGCAUAUUUUAAUAAUGUGGUAUGCCAGGUGGCAUUAACUUAAUGAUGUGGUAGUGCCACGAGGUAGAUCAAAAAUUUUUUUAAAAAAUUUUUGUGCCACGUCAUAAGAAUUAAAUUGAACAAAAAUAUAUAGUAGACAGAUUAAAUUGAACAAAAUUGAGAUGCAAAAAGACUAAAUUGAAAAAUAUAAAUCUUUAAGUAAAUUAUAGAUAUACUUAUUAAUAAGCCAAAUGUUUAAGUAUAAAAGAAUUAUGAUGUUAAAAAUAUAUAUAUUUUUUCUUACUUGAUUAUUUGAUUUUAUAAUAUAUACAUUACUUUUUUUUUGCAAAAAUUAAGUAUGAAUUCUUCUUCUAUAAACAAAUUCCGAAAAAAAUGUAAAGCUUAAAGUCAAAUUUAGAUGAAUAACUUGUAUUAUGUUAGAAUAAAAUAAUAUAAAAGAACUAAAUAAAUUCUUUUUUUUCUAUUUAUAAUAGUAUAAAAAUUUAAAAUUUAUUUGAUUUAAUUUUUAAUUUGAGAUGAAUUCAAAUUAGCAAAAUAGGUUGAUUUAGUUACAACUUUCACAAUUUACAAAUACCUAUUUUUUUUGGAAUUAUUCAACCCUUACCCAAUUUACCUUUUACUCAAAUUUACUCAAAUUUUCUUAUAAAAUAAUUUUAUUUAAGUUCAAAUACCACAAUUAAAUUUUGCUGAAUUUAAAUUUAAAUUAUUAAUUUGGAUAUACAAAAAAUUUGGAAAUACAAAAUAAAAUUGUACAAAUAUUUACAAUUAUACUUAAUUCCAUCAACUAAAUGCAAUCUUUAAUCCAGAAACAUAAAAAAAUAUAAACUGAAAUAUUUCACAAAAUAAAAAUAUAAAAAAUUGAAGGAGUGGAGUAACUCAUAUUUUAUAGUUGUAAUAAGAGGUUUGUCAUACCCAAAUUAAGCAAGUCAGAACAAAUAAUUAUUUUUAUAAUCAUCGUUAACUCCACAUCUCCAUUUUUCAUUUUUUUAAAAGAAAAAAUUAAAUCAACUUAUUUUACUAAUUAUUUAAUCUUUUUAUAUUAUUUUAUUCCAACAUAAUGCAAAUUAUUUAUCUAAAUUUGACUUUAGGUAUGAAAUUUUUUUUCUUUUUUUUUAUAGAAUGAGAAUUCAAACUUAAUUUUUGCAAAGAAGAUAAAUUAAUGUCUAUAUUCUAUAAUCAAAUAAUCAAGUAAGAAAUAUAUAUAUAUAUAUAUAUAUAUAUAUAUAUAUUAACAUCAUAAAUCUUUUACAUUUAAAUAUUUGGCUUAUUAAUAAGUAUAUCUAUCAUCUACUUAAAGAUUUGUAAUUUUGAAAUUUUUUUUAAUUUAAACCCUCAACAUCUCAAUUUUGUUCAAUUUAAUCCUAGUAUUAUACAUUUUUAUUUAAUUUAAUCCUUAUGAUGUGGCACAAAAAAAUUUUUGAAAAUUUUUUAAUUUGUCAUGUGGCACUGACACAUCAGCAUGUCAAUGCCACAUCAACAUUGCCAUGCCAUCAUAUUAGUGCCAUGUGGCAUUGCCACAUAAUCAAGUUGGUAUCAUGUGGCAUGCCACAUCAUCAAAAUAUACCACGUCAGUAUUGAUGUUAUUCCUUUUAAAGACAAAAUUGGAUGUUGUUAGGAUGAGGAACUAAAUUAAAGCAAGUUUCAAAAUCAAGAGAUUAAAUUACUUCGAUUUUAAGUAUAGGGAUUAAAUUAAAUAAAAUGCAUGAGUACAAGGACUUGGUGGGCAUUUUGACCAUACUUUUAUUACGUUUAAUCAAGUCCUUAUAUUUUUAUUAUGAACCAAAUAAACCCUUAUAUUUUUAUUUUAAGUCAAAUAAAUUCUUAUGACUAAUUAUUAAUGACUUAAUCAAAAUGUCAUUUGUUAUUUUAUACCAUAUGACACCGACAUGACAUGCUAACAUGUUAUAAUUGAUGAUGAUAUGGCAUGUUGACAUAUCAUAAUUGAUAAUGACGUGAUAUGCUAAUUAAAUAUUAUAAUAUGAUUAUAUAACAUUUUUCACUCUUCACAUUAACAGCAUAUUAAUAGCAUAUGGAUAUAAAAUGAUGAGUGGCAUUUUAACAAAUAACAAUUAGCCAAUCAUUAAUCAUAAAGGUUUAUGUGAUUCAAAAUAAAAGUAUAAUCACUUAAUUGAACACAAUAAAAGAAUAAUGAUUUAUUUAUAUAUUUUUUAAUAACUUAAGAGUUUAUUUGAACAUUAUGUCUUUUGUUAAUGAAAACUUAUAGAAUAUUUAAAAGUUUUUUUAAACAAGUCACCAUCAAUGUACAUGACAACUUUUUCUAUCUAAUUAAAUUUGACCAAGUAAAUAGGUGCCAAAUUCCAAUUUACUUUAACAUGGUGAUGGUCGGCUGUGACUAAUUACAGCAUGAAAGCAGAGCCGUGUAUAAGUAUUCCCUCCCACUGGUCAAGCUCUAGCAACCUAGAAGGUUUUAACAUAUUUGAACGAACAGGGCUCCAUGAAAAAGGGGAAAAAUAGAGAAUAAUGAAGGUUAUAAAGGUACUACCGUACAAACUUUUUGAAAAAGUAUGAAACAAACAAAGGGGUAUUUUAAAAAAUGAUCUUUAAAGAUAAGAUAUUUUUAAAAAUAGUACUAUUUAUAAGUUUAAUUAUUUUUAGUUAAGUUAGAUAAAAUUACUCUUAAUGAAGUUGCACGCUAUGAUGUUACACGCUAUGUACAAAAAUAUGUGACACGUCAUGUACAAAAACUUAUGACAAGUUAUGGUUAAUUUGUUACACAUUAUGUAUAAAAACCUGUGACAAGCCGUGGUUAGCGUGUUACACGCUAUGUACAAAAAUAUAUGACACGUUACGUACAAAAACUUGUAACAAGCCGUGAUUAGCGUGUUACACGUUAUGUACAAAAAAUAUGUGACAAGCCAAGUACAAAAUCUCGUGACAAAUUAUGGUUAGCUUGUUAUAUGCCAUGUACAAAAACUCGUGACAAGUUAAGGUUAGGUUGUUACACGUCAUGUUGAAAAAAAAUACUGUUAUUACACGCCAUAUAAAAAAACAUGUACAUUGCCAUGGUUAAAAAAGGUUAUUACACGUCAUGUUGAAAAAAAAAUAUUGUUGUUACACGUCAUGUUAAAAAAAUAUUAUUGUUACACGACAUAUUCAAAAACAUUUUGUUAUACUUUAAUGUUUAAAAUGUUGUUGUUGUUACUUACGAACGAAAACUUUAAAUCCUCUCAACUUUUUUUUUUGUUUUUCUGACAAUUUGGCACAAAUUAAAGUGUUUCUAACAUGUUUUUAUAAAUCAAAAUACAAAUGUUUUUUUAUCUAAAAUACUUACUUUGACUAAAAAAAAAAUCUUUGAAAACCUAGAUUUAUAAAUUUCAAAAUUUUGAGUUUAUUGGUAUCUAGAUCCCGAAUUGAUUCAAUUAAAAACUAUUUUAUACAUUUGUAAUUAUUUUUACAGUUUUAUUUUUAUCCAAAAUACUUAAAAAUCGAAUUUCUCAAACAGUCACCUACUACCCAAGCACGUCAAAACCAUUGCUUGGUGUCUUGAAAGCAUAAGAAAGAGAAAUCUAAAAACACGGGAGAGAGAAAUCGGAAGCAUAACAGAUGAAUGUCGAAUAGAAAAAUCGAUAAAAUUUGAGAGACUGUGAUGGUGAGAGAAAAAUCCGAAGCACAGAUGAGAAGUAAUAGGGAGAAAUUGUAAUGAAUGGUUUAAUUUAUUUGAAAUAGUUUAAAGGGUAUUUUCGUCAAUUCAUGACUAAAUAUGAGUAAAAACAGUUAAACUUAUUUUGAUGGUUACUUUUAAAAUGUCUUUAUAAAGAAAGGUCAUCUCCCACAAUUUUCUCAACAAAAAUUAUUAUAUAUGUAUAUAAUUAGUGGUAAUAAAAUAUCAAGCUAUAUUGAAAAUUUUGGCAUAAUAAUGUGCCCCAUUGAUUCCAAAUAUCCAGCAUCCAGUGGAAAAGCUCGUCACGAACACAUUCAUUGGCAGGACAAAAUCCACCAAACUAUCACCUUGUUUCCGAAGAAUUUUUAUCAAGAAAGCAGUGAGCUUCAAGGGUGCAGCGACAGUGAUUGGACUAGUUCCAUUGAUGAUUCCAAAAGCACUUGCAGAUUCUGUUUCUCUUUUGAAAGUGUAGUCUUCACCUGGAAUUCAAAGAAACAGGAAUUAGUAGCUCAAUUAUUAGUUGAGGUUGAGCAUAUUACUGCUGCUUUAGCUGCUAACCAUGCUCAAUGGUUAAGAAAGAUUUUAUCCAAUGUGGGAUUCAAUCAAGACAAAUGAACCAUAUUGAAGGUUGAUAAUCAAUCUGCUAUAAUCAUAGCAAAAAGUCUUAUUCAGUAUGAUCAAAUUAAACACAUUCGAGUUAAAUUUCAUAUUUUGCGAGAUAUAUUGAAAGAAUAGGAAAUUCGAUUGGAAUAUUGUCACAUAGACCUCCAGUUGGCAAAUAUUCUCACUAAAAGUCUGAGCAAAGACAGAUUCGAAUUUUUAAGGAAUGAAUUGGGUGUUUACCAGACAGGGAUCAAGGAGGGGUGUUGAGAACUUUGAUCCCAAUCUGGUUCAGUUUAGAAGGGAAGGGAGUUUGGCGGGAAUGAACAGAUUCAAGACAGGAAGGAGACUUAAACGAUGCCGUUUUAACUUCACUAAUUGGGCUGUUUUAAGCUGCAAGCAAAACGCUGAGGGAUGGCACCGUUUAGACAAAAUAAAUCCUUUUUUUAAACGCAAGUCCUUAUGUCGUUUAGUUUAUAAGCUUGUUAAUUGGCUGUUAAAGCCACGUGUUCUUUCUUCUUUCUAUAGUUUUUUGUUGGUUUGUUACUUUCUCGAUGGCGGUGUUGCUGAGCAUCAAAUUCUGUGACGAAUUUGUUGCUUUUUUCUAUGUUUUCUGAAUCCAAAAGAAUUUGUACAGAUGGCAAUAUUUUCUACUUAGUAUUUAACUAAGAAAUGAAAAGAGAAAAGUGUGUGAAGCAUUUUCUUUAUUUUGUUUCAUUUUCAAGUUUUUCCUUCUUCUCCUUUUGCUUCUCUGCAAAUCUCUUACGUUCAUUACUCUCUGGAAUAUUGAUAAACAUUCAAUAGACAGGGAGACCCACUCCUUUGUACAAGCAUCAGAUAUCAUUGGUAGAGAUUAAGACAAAGAAAAAAUCAUAAAACGUUUGCUGCAAGAUCCAAUUGAUGAGGAAGAUAUAUCUGUCCUUCCUCAAACGAAAAUGAAGAGCCUCAAGACAUUGGUAGGCAUUAUUUGAAUGAGUUAUCAUCAUGAUCUUUUUUUAAGAUUUUUAUAAAGAUUUAUCUGUCCAGUAUUUUAAAAUGGAUGAUUUUUUACUUGAUCUUGUAUUAUCAGCUGUAAACAUUUACAUAUAUUGUCUAGAAUAAUGAUGAUAUUUCCAUUUAAACUUACUAAUUACAUUAUCAGUUUUUUUAUAUUGAUUCAUUUGAACUCCCACUUAUGAUGCAUCCAGAACAAUUAAUCCAUUUUUAUUGAUUGAAGCCCCAUUAAAGUUUUGGCCCAUCAAAUCCAAACACAGCUUGGUAGCACAAAAUUCAUUUCUUUUUUGAUUUAUAUGAUGCAAGUUGUAUAGCAAAUUGUUGUAUUUUAGUAUUUAAUGGAUAUGAGGUUUGCACUUGGAAGCACGACACCCAACUACUCUGCUCUUUUCCAAGUCAACGUCUAAUUUUCCUUGCAUCUUUCUCUUUUCCCAGCUGCUUCUUUCCUUUGUGAUCGACCUGCGUUAUUGCUUGACGAUUGUCGGUAGAAACAGACACCAUUUCGUAGAAAUUCUCUUCCUCUCCAACAGUUUCUUUCUUUCUUUUCCUCCUUGUUUAAUGCCAUCAAUAAACCUCAUCAGCAGAAGACUUAGCACAAUUUCCCCCCACCAAAAAUGGUUGAAUCCUUCGCAUUUAACAUUGCUGAAAAUGUCCUCUCGAAACUAGCCAAUAUUGCAUAUCAAGAAAUUCGCCUUGCUUGGGGUGUCCAGAGUGACCUUGAAAAGCUUAAGACGACUUUAACUACCAUCAAAGCUGUGCUUUUAGAUGCUGAAGAAAAACAGGCUCAUGACAAUCAGCUGCGGGUUUGGCUUCAAGAGCUUAGGGAUGCCUGUU
RNAcentral lists this long non-coding RNA (10437 nucleotides) under Theobroma cacao (cacao). RNAcentral describes it as "long non-coding RNA (TCAC_LNC003512)". The record is from RNAcentral. Lineage: Eukaryota; Viridiplantae; Streptophyta; Magnoliopsida; Malvales; Malvaceae.